Molecule: ribosomal RNA, 227 nt
Filed under: Bacillus sp. BA3
Lineage: Bacteria; Bacillati; Bacillota; Bacilli; Caryophanales; Bacillaceae
Description: partial 23S ribosomal RNA
Rfam family: Bacterial large subunit ribosomal RNA
Source: RNAcentral
CGGUUAAGUUAGAAAGGGCGCACGGUGGAUGCCUUGGCACUAGGAGCCGAUGAAGGACGGGACUAACACCGAUAUGCUUCGGGGAGCUGUAAGUAAGCUUUGAUCCGGAGAUUUCCGAAUGGGGAAACCCACUGUUCGUAAUGGAACAGUAUCUUUACCUGAAUACAUAGGGUACUGAAGGCAGACCCGGGGAACUGAAACAUCUAAGUACCCGGAGGAAGAGAAAG